UCUUAAAUUCACCUCUUCUUUGAUUCUUUUCUGGGGUCCUGAGGGUCCUUGAGGCCUUUACCAGAGUCAUCACUAGAAAGACUUCCAUUAACAGAAAUUGGAGAGCCUGGCAAAGCAAAAGCUGCUUCUACCAUUUGAGAUGCUGAACAUAACUCUGCUUUCAACUGCUUGGUAAGUCAAGAAGCAGAAGCUGGAGGAAAUGGAAGACCCAAAUGGUAAAGAAUCAGAGACAACAAACAUGGAAGUAGCCAGAUGAGGUAAUUUGGUUAACUGGGUAUAUUUGUGUUUAUUUAAAACUGAACUGAGAGGAGAAGAAAAAGAAGAAUGCUUUGGUUUUAAGAAGAACCGAUCUUGGUUUUAUACAAGUUCAAAAAGGAAGACAAUUUUAGUUCAUUUUUCUUCAAAGAAAAUGCUGUUGAACAGUUAGAAGUUGGGGAAACUUUGACUGAGACAGCCCCCUCAGUUGCUUUCUGGUCUUUGGUCAUUGGCUGAGUAGAGACUAAGAUUAGUGUGGAAGUCCAAGUUCUAAAGCUGACCAAGUCCACUUCCACUUCAUAAUUUAACUUCCAAAAGGGUUUCUGUUUCUCUCUCUAGAUCCUACGGCUGUGAUUUGUUGAGAAUGAAAAUUUCAUAAUUGAGAUAGUGAGACAAGUGGAAAGUCAGAGUUCAAGCUUGGAGAGUAGACUAAGAAUUUUCAAACCUUUCGUCCGCGUUGUGGUUCAGUAAACAACUGCUUUUCAUCUUUA
Non-coding RNA from Cucurbita pepo subsp. pepo (vegetable marrow), 746 nucleotides. Lineage: Eukaryota; Viridiplantae; Streptophyta; Magnoliopsida; Cucurbitales; Cucurbitaceae. The record is from RefSeq and is a predicted model, not a curated record.